AACUUUUCCUGUGGCCUAGUGGUUAGAGCGUUCGCCUGAUGCGGGAGGUCCUGGGUUCAAUUCUCGGUCGAGUCA
Non-coding RNA from Potamilus streckersoni, 75 nucleotides. The record is from the annotation of a GenBank genome assembly. Lineage: Eukaryota; Metazoa; Mollusca; Bivalvia; Unionida; Unionidae.